This 492-nucleotide ribosomal RNA is filed under the name uncultured bacterium. Its description in RNAcentral is "partial 16S ribosomal RNA". It matches the Rfam family "Bacterial small subunit ribosomal RNA", at positions 29 to 507 of the family's 1533-position model. The record is from RNAcentral.
AGUGAACGCUGGCGGUAGGCCUAACACAUGCAAGUCGAACGGCAGCACAGUAAGAGCUUGCUCUUACGGGUGGUGAGUGGCGGACGGGUGAGGAAUACAUCGGAAUCUACUUUUUCGUGGGGGAUAACGUAGGGAAACUUACGCUAAUACCGCAUACGACCUACGGGUGAAAGCAGGGGAUCUUCGGACCUUGCGCGAUUGAAUGAGCCGAUGUCGGAUUAGCUAGUUGGCGGGGUAAAGGCCCACCAAGGCGACGAUCCGUAGCUGGUCUGAGAGGAUGAUCAGCCACACUGGAACUGAGACACGGUCCACACUCCUACGGGAGGCAGCAGUGGGGAAUAUUGGACAAUGGGCGCAAGCCUGAUCCAGCCAUACCGCGUGAGUGCAGAAGGCCUUCGGGUUGUAAAGCCCUUUUGUUGGGAAAGAAAAGCAGCAGGUUAAUACCCCGCUGUUCUGACGGUACCCAAGGAAUAAGCACCGGCUAACUUCGUG